RNAcentral lists this transfer RNA (87 nucleotides) under Sphingomonas taxi. It matches the Rfam family "tRNA". Rfam says of the family: Transfer RNA (tRNA) molecules are approximately 80 nucleotides in length. The record is from Rfam by way of RNAcentral. Lineage: Bacteria; Pseudomonadati; Pseudomonadota; Alphaproteobacteria; Sphingomonadales; Sphingomonadaceae.
GGAGAGGUGGCAGAGUGGUCGAUUGUACCGCACUCGAAAUGCGGCGUGCCUUUGCGGGCACCGAGGGUUCGAAUCCCUCCCUCUCCG